Drosophila albomicans is the source of this 203-nucleotide long non-coding RNA. RefSeq lists it as uncharacterized. The transcript is spliced from 2 exons. The record is from RefSeq and is a predicted model, not a curated record. Lineage: Eukaryota; Metazoa; Arthropoda; Insecta; Diptera; Drosophilidae.
CUUCGGGACUGAAGCAGGCCAGACAAAGAGCUAGCUAUAAGCGAUGCAAAUAUGUCAGGUGGAAAGCACAGCAAAUAUUGAUAACGUAAGCUUUAACCUAUGGCUAUGGCCAACUGAUAAGGCUUCAACAACAUGACGGAGGUUGGUAAUAUUUCCCGUGUGCGGUGCGAACGAUGCGAAAGACGAAAAGGAACUGACUAAAA